Molecule: ribosomal RNA, 300 nt
Filed under: uncultured Flavobacteriales bacterium
Lineage: Bacteria; Pseudomonadati; Bacteroidota; Flavobacteriia; Flavobacteriales
Description: bacterial SSU rRNA
Rfam family: Bacterial small subunit ribosomal RNA
Source: RNAcentral
CGCGUAUGGAACUUACCCCAAACUGGAGAAUAGCCGUUUAGAAAUGAAGAAUAAUACUCCAUAGUAUUCCGAGAAGGCAUCUUCUUGGUCUUAAAGCUUCGGCGGUUUGGGAUAGCCAUGCGUUCUAUUAGUUAGUUGGUGAGGUAACGGCUCACCAAGACCGCGAUAGAUAGGGGGCCUGAGAGGGUUGUCCCCCACACUGGUACUGAGACACGGACCAGACUCCUACGGGAGGCAGCAGUGGGGAAUAUUGCACAAUGGGCGAAAGCCUGAUGCAGCCAUGCCGCGUGUGUGAAGAAG